This is a non-coding RNA of Podarcis lilfordi (Lilford's wall lizard), 75 nucleotides long. The record is from the annotation of a GenBank genome assembly. NCBI's taxonomy places the organism in Eukaryota, Metazoa, Chordata, Lepidosauria, Squamata, Lacertidae.
GCAGGAAUCAUGCCUCAGCGGCAGAGGAUAUGCUCUGCACGCAAAUAGUCCCAGGUUCAGUCCCUGGCAUCUGCA